This 432-nucleotide ribosomal RNA is filed under the name uncultured bacterium. Its description in RNAcentral is "partial 16S ribosomal RNA". It matches the Rfam family "Bacterial small subunit ribosomal RNA", at positions 29 to 506 of the family's 1533-position model. The record is from RNAcentral.
AACGAACGCUGGCGGCAUGCCUAACACAUGCAAGUCGAACGAGACCUUCGGGUCUAGUGGCGCACGGGUGCGUAACGCGUGGGAACCUGCCCUUAGGUUCGGAAUAACUCCCCGAAAGGGGUGCUAAUACCGGAUAAUGUCUUCGGACCAAAGAUUUAUCGCCUUUGGAUGGGCCCGCGUUGGAUUAGCUAGUUGGUAGGGUAAAAGCCUACCAAGGCGACGAUCCAUAGCUGGUCUGAGAGGAUGAUCAGCCACACUGGGACUGAGACACGGCCCAGACCCCUACGGGAGGAAGGAGGGGGGAAUAUUGGAAAAGGGGCAAAAGCCUGAACCAGAAAUGCCGGGGGAGUGAUGAAGGCCUUAGGGUUGUAAAGCUCUUUUACCCGGGAUGAUAAUGACAGUACCGGGGGAAAAAGCUCCGGCUAACUCCGG